Molecule: transfer RNA, 88 nt
Filed under: Amygdalobacter nucleatus
Lineage: Bacteria; Bacillati; Bacillota; Clostridia; Eubacteriales; Oscillospiraceae
Description: tRNA-Ser
Rfam family: tRNA
About the family: Transfer RNA (tRNA) molecules are approximately 80 nucleotides in length. Their secondary structure includes four short double-helical elements and three loops (D, anti-codon, and T loops). Further hydrogen bonds mediate the characteristic L-shaped molecular structure. tRNAs have two regions of fundamental functional importance: the anti-codon, which is responsible for specific mRNA codon recognition, and the 3' end, to which the tRNAs corresponding amino acid is attached (by aminoacyl-tRNA synthetases). tRNAs cope with the degeneracy of the genetic code in two manners: having more than one tRNA (with a specific anti-codon) for a particular amino acid; and 'wobble' base-pairing, i.e. permitting non-standard base-pairing at the 3rd anti-codon position.
Source: RNAcentral
GGAGAAGUACCCAAGAGGCUGAAGGGGACGGUUUGCUAAAUCGUUAGUGGGGGUAACUCCAGCAAGGGUUCGAAUCCCUUCUUCUCCG